Molecule: ribosomal RNA, 377 nt
Filed under: uncultured bacterium
Lineage: Bacteria
Description: bacterial SSU rRNA
Rfam family: Bacterial small subunit ribosomal RNA
Source: RNAcentral
AUACGUAGGUGGCAAGCGUUGUCCGGAAUUAUUGGGCGUAAAGCGCGCGCAGGCGGUCUUUUAAGUCUGAUGUGAAAGCCCCCGGCUCAACCGGGGAGGGUCAUUGGAAACUGGGAGACUUGAGUACAGAAGAGAAGAGUGGAAUUCCACGUGUAGCGGUGAAAUGCGUAGAGAUGUGGAGGAACACCAGUGGCGAAGGCGACUCUUUGGUCUGUAACUGACGCUGAGGCGCGAAAGCGUGGGGAGCGAACAGGAUUAGAUACCCUGGUAGUCCACGCCGUAAACGAUGAGUGCUAAGUGUCAGAGGGUUUCCGCCCUUUAGUGCUGCAGCAAACGCAUUAAGCACUCCGCCUGGGGAGUACGGCCGCAAGGCUGAA